This 251-nucleotide ribosomal RNA is filed under the name uncultured bacterium. Its description in RNAcentral is "partial 16S ribosomal RNA". It matches the Rfam family "Bacterial small subunit ribosomal RNA", at positions 524 to 774 of the family's 1533-position model. The record is from RNAcentral.
UACGAAGGGGGCUAGCGUUGUUCGGAAUUACUGGGCGUAAAGGGCGCGUAGGCGGUGAUCUUUGUCAGAGGUGAAAGCCCGGGGCUCAACUCCGGAAUUGCCUUUGAAACGGGAUUGCUUGAGUCCGAGAGAGGAUGGCGGAAUUCCUAGUGUAGAGGUGAAAUUCGUAGAUAUUAGGAAGAACACCGGUGGCGAAGGCGGCCAUCUGGCUCGGUACUGACGCUGAUGCGCGAAAGCGUGGGGAGCAAACA